AUUGUUUCGAACGGACGCCUUUUUCUUUUGCGAAAAAGGUGGACGGAUCGGUAGUGAGGAUUUUUUGCCAUUUUCACCGUGGCUUCCUCGAAAAGCAUGAGCGCAUCCAUUUAAUAGGCGAGACGGACGAAGGCUUGUAUUUUUCGCUCUGUUCUUUCCUGCCGGGUUUUGAUAAUAUCGAAGCUUCGGAGGUCAAAGACAGGGUUCGAGCUGGACGCAACGACUUGCUGGUUGGAGUGCUUCUAACCCCGCCCAUGCCUGCAAAGGAAGGGAUUUUUUUAUUCAAUU
This 288-nucleotide unclassified non-coding RNA is filed under the name uncultured Ustilago. Its description in RNAcentral is "sequence contains ITS2". Lineage: Eukaryota; Fungi; Basidiomycota; Ustilaginomycetes; Ustilaginales; Ustilaginaceae. The record is from RNAcentral.